CCUACGGGAGGCUGCAGUGAGGAAUAUUGGUCAAUGGGCGCGAGCCUGAACCAGCCAAGUCGCGUGAGGGAGGACGGCCCUACGGGUUGUAAACCUCUUUUGCCGGGGAGCAACGGGCGUCACGUGUGGCGCCACUGAGAGUACCCGGAGAAAAAGCAUCGGCUAACUCCGUGCCAGCAGCCGCGGUAAUACGGAGGAUGCGAGCGUUAUCCGGAUUUAUUGGGUUUAAAGGGUGCGUAGGCGGAAGGUUAAGUCAGCGGUCAAAUGUCGGUGCUCAACACCGGCCUGCCGUUGAAACUGGUCUUCUUGAGUGAGCGAGAAGUAUGCGGAAUGCGUGGUGUAGCGGUGAAAUGCAUAGAUAUCACGCAGAACUCCGAUUGCGAAGGCAGCAUACCGGCGCUCAACUGACGCUGAGGCACGAAAGCGUGGGGAUCGAACAGGAUUAGAUACCCCAGUAGUC
Molecule: ribosomal RNA, 460 nt
Filed under: uncultured bacterium
Lineage: Bacteria
Description: partial 16S ribosomal RNA
Rfam family: Bacterial small subunit ribosomal RNA
Source: RNAcentral